This 108-nucleotide microRNA precursor is filed under the name Helianthus annuus (common sunflower). RNAcentral describes it as "MIR396 microRNA precursor family". It matches the Rfam family "MIR396 microRNA precursor family". Lineage: Eukaryota; Viridiplantae; Streptophyta; Magnoliopsida; Asterales; Asteraceae. The record is from Rfam by way of RNAcentral.
CUUUCUAUCCUUCCACGGCUUUCUUGAACUGCAUGUGUUUGAUCUAUCAGAUCUGUGUUUUUAUAUUUAAUCUUUGCGGUUCAAUAAAGCUGUGGGAAGAUAGAGACA